RNAcentral lists this ribosomal RNA (248 nucleotides) under uncultured bacterium. Its description in RNAcentral is "partial 16S ribosomal RNA". It matches the Rfam family "Bacterial small subunit ribosomal RNA", at positions 524 to 782 of the family's 1533-position model. The record is from RNAcentral.
UACGUAGGGGCCUAGCGUUGUCCGGAAUCAUUGGGCGUAAAGAGCUCGUAGGCGGUUCGGCAAGUCACGUGUGAAAUCUCCACGCUUAACGUGGAGGCGCCACGUGAAACUGCCGUGACUCGAGUCCGGUAGGGGAGUGUGGAAUUCCCGGUGUAGCGGUGAAAUGCGCAGAUAUCGGAAGACGACCGAGCGAGGCGGUCAGCUGGGACGUCUGACGCAGUCGUGAACGUGGGAGCAACGGAAUGAGC